Molecule: transfer RNA, 77 nt
Filed under: Coprobacillus sp. CAG:826
Lineage: Bacteria; Bacillati; Bacillota; Erysipelotrichia; Erysipelotrichales; Coprobacillaceae
Description: transfer RNA-Arg(ACG)
Rfam family: tRNA
About the family: Transfer RNA (tRNA) molecules are approximately 80 nucleotides in length. Their secondary structure includes four short double-helical elements and three loops (D, anti-codon, and T loops). Further hydrogen bonds mediate the characteristic L-shaped molecular structure. tRNAs have two regions of fundamental functional importance: the anti-codon, which is responsible for specific mRNA codon recognition, and the 3' end, to which the tRNAs corresponding amino acid is attached (by aminoacyl-tRNA synthetases). tRNAs cope with the degeneracy of the genetic code in two manners: having more than one tRNA (with a specific anti-codon) for a particular amino acid; and 'wobble' base-pairing, i.e. permitting non-standard base-pairing at the 3rd anti-codon position.
Source: RNAcentral
GCGCCCAUAGCUCAACUGGAUAGAGUGUUAGACUACGAAUCUAAAGGUUGCGAGUUCGAUUCUUGCUGGGCGCGCCA